Molecule: ribosomal RNA, 429 nt
Filed under: Chloroflexota bacterium
Lineage: Bacteria; Bacillati; Chloroflexota
Description: Chloroflexi bacterium partial 16S ribosomal RNA
Rfam family: Bacterial small subunit ribosomal RNA
Source: RNAcentral
UGGGGAAUAUUGCACAAUGGGCGCAAGCCUGAUGCAGCCAUGCCGCGUGUAUGAAGAAGGCCUUCGGGUUGUAAAGUACUUUCAGCGGGGAGGAAGGGAGUAAAGUUAAUACCUUUGCUCAUUGACGUUACCCGCAGAAGAAGCACCGGCUAACUCCGUUCCAGCAGCCGCGGUAAUACGGAGGGUGCAAGCGUUAAUCGGAAUUACUGGGCGUAAAGCGCACGCAGGCGGUUUGUUAAGUCAGAUGUGAAAUCCCCGGGCUCAACCUGGGAACUGCAUCUGAUACUGGCAAGCUUGAGUCUCGUAGAGGGGGGUAGAAUUCCAGGUGUAGCGGUGAAAUGCGUAGAGAUCUGGAGGAAUACCGGUGGCGAAGGCGGCCCCCUGGAAAAAGACUGACGCUCAGGUGCGAAAGCGUGGGGAGCAAACAGG